RNAcentral lists this ribosomal RNA (397 nucleotides) under uncultured bacterium. RNAcentral describes it as "bacterial SSU rRNA". It matches the Rfam family "Bacterial small subunit ribosomal RNA", at positions 505 to 898 of the family's 1533-position model. The record is from RNAcentral.
GUGUCAGCAGCCGCGGUAAUACGGAGGGUGCGAGCGUUAAUCGGAAUUACUGGGCGUAAAGGGUGCGUAGGUUGUUAGUUAAGUUAUCUGUGAAAUCCCUGGGCUUAACCUGGGCAGGUCAGAUAAAACUGAUUAACUCGAGUAUGGGAGAGGGUAGUGGAAUUUCCGGUGUAGCGGUGAAAUGCGUAGAGAUCGGAAGGAACACCAGUGGCGAAGGCGGCUACCUGGCCCAAUACUGACACUGAGGCACGAAAGCGUGGGGAGCAAACAGGAUUAGAUACCCUGGUAGUCCACGCCGUAAACGAUGUCAACUAGCUGUUGGCCAUCGAAUGAGAUGGUUAGUGGCGCAGCUAACGCGAUAAGUUGACCGCCUGGGGAGUACGGUCGCAAGAUUAAA